UGGGGAACCUGCCCCAUAGUCUGGGAUACCACUUGGAAACAGGUGCUAGUACCGGAUAAGAAAGCAGAUCGCAUGAUCAGCUUUUAAAAGGCGGCGUAAGCUGUCGCUAUGGGAUGGCCCCGCGGUGCAUUAGCUAGUUGGUAAGGUAAAGGCUUACCAAGGCGAUGAUGCAUAGCCGAGUUGAGAGACUGAUCGGCCACAUUGGGACUGAGACACGGCCCAAACUCCUACGGGAGGCAGCAGGC
RNAcentral lists this ribosomal RNA (245 nucleotides) under uncultured Lactobacillus sp. Its description in RNAcentral is "partial 16S ribosomal RNA". It matches the Rfam family "Bacterial small subunit ribosomal RNA", at positions 118 to 354 of the family's 1533-position model. The record is from RNAcentral. Lineage: Bacteria; Bacillati; Bacillota; Bacilli; Lactobacillales; Lactobacillaceae.